UGGGGAAUAUUGGACAAUGGGCGCAAGCCUGAUCCAGCAAUGCCGCGUGUGUGAAGAAGGCCUUCGGGUUGUAAAGCACUUUCAGUUUUGAAAAAGGGGCCUUGGCUAAUAUCCAAGGUCAUUGAUAUUAGAGACAGAAGAAGCACCGGCUAACUCUGUGCCAGCAGCCGCGGUAAUACAGAGGGUGCGAGCGUUAAUCGGUAUUACUGGGCGUAAAGGGUGCGUAGGUGGUUGCGUAAGUUAAUUGUGAAAGUCCUGGGCUUAACCUGGGGAUUGCAGUUAAUACUGCGUGACUGGAGUGUUGUAGAGGUAAGCGGAAUUUCCGGUGUAGCGGUGAAAUGCGUAGAUAUCGGAAGGAACAUCGAUGGCGAAGGCAGCUUUCUGGACAAAUACUGACACUGAGGCACGAAAGCGUGGGGAGCAAACAG
This 428-nucleotide ribosomal RNA is filed under the name uncultured bacterium. RNAcentral's name for it is "bacterial SSU rRNA". It matches the Rfam family "Bacterial small subunit ribosomal RNA", at positions 355 to 775 of the family's 1533-position model. The record is from RNAcentral.